GGAAAUUGUUAGGUGUGCUCCGUGGUGGCUCAGAUGCAACAGCUAACUGCUCCCUGACCCUGGGCCCCCACAAAAGGCCAAUGCCACCCAUUGGUGAUACCAACUGGAACCCGACUGGGAACAGAGGGCAAGGGGCUGGAGGAGGCAGUCCUAGAAGCCAGCCUCCGGGCCUACAGAGCAGGGUGAGAAGGAUACAGAGAGGGUGUGGCCCUGGGUGGGAAAAUGGAAAUAAUCAGUACAAGUACUUACUGCUCAGGGGUGUGGGCUGAAUGGGGUUCCUCCAAAAUUCAUAGGCGGAGGUCCCAGUACCUCAGGAUGUGACUGUGUUUGGAGAUAGCCUCUUUAAAGAGGCAUUUAAGUUAAAAUGAAGUCAUUAGUUUGGGCCGGAAUCCAGUGUGAUGGGGUCAUAGCAGAGGACACGGACUCACACAAAGGGAAGAGCGUGUGAAGCACGGGAGAUGACGGCUGCCUCCAAACCCAGGAGAGAGACCUCCGCAGAAACUAACCCUGCCAACACCUUGAUCUCUGACUUCCAGCCUCCAGAACCGUGAGACAAUAGAUUUCUGUUGUUCAAGCCGUUUGUCCAAGCCAGUCA
This is a long non-coding RNA of Bos taurus (domestic cattle), 595 nucleotides long. The record is from Ensembl. NCBI's taxonomy places the organism in Eukaryota, Metazoa, Chordata, Mammalia, Artiodactyla, Bovidae.